UUUGAUAGCUCUUGGAUGGCCUGGAUCAGACAGGCUCCUGGAAAAGGACUGGAGUGGAUUGCAACUAUUAGAUAUGACAGUGCUGAGAUCUCCUACUCUCAGUCAGUUCAAGGCCAGUUCACCAUCUCCAGAGACAACAGUAGAGAGCAGCUGUAUCUGCAGAUGAACAGUCUGAAGUUUGACAAUUCUGCUGUUUAUUAUUGUGCUCUUCAAGUCACAGCGGAUCGUUUUGAUUACUGGGGAAAAGGCACGAUGGUUACAAUUACAUCAGCCACACCACGUGCACCGACUCUGUUUCCCCUGGCACCAUGUGGCUCUGGGACUGGAGACAUGGUCACUCUUGGCUGCCUCGCCACCGAGUUCACACCCAGCUCAGUGACCUUCUUAUGGACCAAAAGUGGGACUGCCUUGACGGACUUCAUCCAGUAUCCUCCAGUACAGAAAGGCGAAUUUUAUAUGGGAGUCAGUCAAGUCCAAGUGAGGAGACAGGACUGGGAGGCAAAGCUACCUUUUAAGUGUGCUGUGACACAUCCAGAUGGAAGUCCUUCCAUCGACGUUAUUCCACCUCCACCACCUGCCAGAGAUUUGCCAACUCUUAAAGUGGCCUCCACUGUUGGUGGAAGCGAGGUUUCCUUCUCCUGCUAUGCCAAAGAUUUCUCACCAAAAGAAUAUGAGAUCAAAUGGCUGAAAGAUGACGGGGAUGUCCUCAACAAAGUAUAUGAGAUCAAAACACCCAUUAAGGAAAGCCAGAACGAUGGAAAGACACUGUACAGUGUAGCAAGUUUUCUCAUGGUACCCACCAGUGACUUGAGACCUAAUUCCACUAAGUUUACAUGUGAGUUUAAGUUGAAAAAUGAAAACGCACUUGUGAAAACUGUGACCUACGGAGGGUCAUGUCCUGAGCCAACUCCUAUCACAGUGACACUGAACCCUCCAAGUCCCAAAAAGUUUUUCAACAACGACCAAGCAGAGUUGGAGUGUAUCGUUGAAGGACAAGACAACACCAUUGUAUCUGAGACUGAAAUUACUUGGCAGAUUGAUGGAAAAAAUGUGGCCGGUAAUAUGGGACUGCCAAAGACUGCAGGCAGUCAGUACAGCAAAACAAACACGCUGACUCGUUCUCUCACUGAGUGGCUGCAAGUCAACACAGUGCGCUGUUCUGCAAAAAGAAAAGACGUGACAGUUACUAAAGAUCUGACUCUCCACAAAGGAGAUCGGAGCGAGCCAAAAGUGGCAGUCCACAUUCUCUCAGAGGAGGACAUCAGAGAAAACUCAGAUGUCACUCUGGUGUGUCUGGUCUCCAGUUCUGUGCAGAAGGAUUAUUACAUAGCCUGGUCAGACGAUGCUGGACAAAAAACUGGGAACUACGUUGAUGGCAUCACCUUCCUCCCUCAGAAGACCCAACAUGGCUACUCAGUUACAAGUGUUUACACCAUCAAGAAGGACAAGUGGAACCAGCAGCGCUCUGUUUUCAACUGCAACGUCUGGCCUGUUCGCAGCAAUAAGUCCAUGAUAACACGAGGAGUGUCGAAAGCCACGGAAAUGAAUAUUGCUGUGAGUUGCACAGAUGAUUCCACUGAAGAGGACGAGUUCAGCAGCCUGUGGUCCACAACCUCCUCCUUCAUAUUCCUCUUCAUAUUCACUCUCUUCUAUAACAUGAUAUUCAGUCUGGUCAAGAUGAAGAGUCAAUAAAGGAUGAGAUGGAUGUGCAGCAUAAACAGCUACAGGUCUUCAUUUGUUUCUUGUCUUGUUUAAAUCUACUUUUUAAAAUGUGUGCAUAAUCAAUGAUCUACUGUUUAUUUCCAAAAUAAAUGGUCUUAAAACAUAAUGAUUAACUAUGUCACUGAAAAUGGAUGUAUCUCUAACCUGUAAAAAAACAAAGAAACAAAAAAUAAAUAAAUAAAAAUAAGACUGCUACAAAUUAUAUGAAGAUUUUUUACUGCAUAGGUUUCUGUUGUGACAUAAGGACUAUAGAUCAUGGAAGUGUGAUAUUCAUUUUCAUUGGUAUGUAAAUAACAAAUUGUAUUGAAGGAAAAAUAGAUAUUUUCUACACAUUGUUUUGUGUUUUGUAGUUUUGACUAUAAAUCUUUGCUUUUUAUAUUUGUGAUUCCAUGUUUGUUCAUUU
Non-coding RNA from Thunnus maccoyii (southern bluefin tuna), 2125 nucleotides. The record is from the annotation of a RefSeq genome assembly. Lineage: Eukaryota; Metazoa; Chordata; Actinopteri; Scombriformes; Scombridae.